This 230-nucleotide ribosomal RNA is filed under the name uncultured bacterium. RNAcentral's name for it is "partial 16S ribosomal RNA". It matches the Rfam family "Bacterial small subunit ribosomal RNA", at positions 560 to 789 of the family's 1533-position model. The record is from RNAcentral.
GUAAAGCGUGCGCAGGCGGUUUUGUAAGACUGUCGUGAAAUCCCCGGGCUCAACCUGGGAAUGGCGAUGGUGACUGCAAGGCUAGAGUUUGGCAGAGGGGGGUAGAAUUCCACGUGUAGCAGUGAAAUGCGUAGAUAUGUGGAGGAACACCGAUGGCGAAGGCAGCCCCCUGGGUCAAAACUGACGCUCAUGCACGAAAGCGUGGGGAGCAAACAGGAUUAGAUACCCUU